UCUGGGGUUCUUAUAGGGCUGGAGCAAUAUCUGUGGGGUCCUUAUAGGGCUGGGGCAAUAUGGGAUCCUGUGGGGUCCUUAUAGGGCUGGGAGGAUAUGGAGUCCUAUGGGGUCCUUAUAGGGCUGGGGCAAUAUGGGGUCCUGUGGGGUCCUUUUAGGGCUGGGAGGAUAAAGGGGUCCUGUGGGGUCCUUAUAGGGCUGGGGCAAUAUGGCAUCCUGUGGGGUUCUUAUAGGGCUGGAGCAAUAGGGGGUCCUGUGGGGUCCUUAUAGGGCUGAGGGGAUAAUGGGACCGCUCAGUGUUUAGUAUAGGGGAUAUGGGGUCCCUACGGGAGCCUAUGGGACCCCCCUCACCCCAUUGUCUUCCCCACCCCCCCCAGGUCCUUCCCUAGCAAUUACUGGGACAAGUUCGUCAAGAGAAAGGUGUUGGAGAAAUAUGGGGACAUUUAUGGCCGUGAGCGCAUCGCGGAGCUGCUGGGGAUGGAGCUCUCCAGCCUCGAAAUCGGGGCACGGGGGGAGAGGAAGCCCCCCCCCGACAACUCCGUGCUCACCUGGAUCACCUCCAUCGAUAUCCGCUAUCAGAUCUGGAAGUUUGGGGUCAUCUUCACUGAUAACGUGAGUGGGGGGGGGGACACGACCCCAAAACUCUGCUGACCCCACAUCCCUGCUGACCCCAUUGACCUCACAUCUCCGCUGCCCCUAUUGACACCACUGACCCCUCUGACCCCACAUAACCACUGUCCCCAUUGACCCCACUGUCCCCAGUCCCC
Non-coding RNA from Phasianus colchicus (ring-necked pheasant), 767 nucleotides. The record is from RefSeq and is a predicted model, not a curated record. NCBI's taxonomy places the organism in Eukaryota, Metazoa, Chordata, Aves, Galliformes, Phasianidae.